Molecule: transfer RNA, 94 nt
Filed under: Deltaproteobacteria bacterium
Lineage: Bacteria; Pseudomonadati; Myxococcota; Myxococcia
Also listed under: 1 other name
Description: tRNA-Sec
Rfam family: Selenocysteine transfer RNA
Source: RNAcentral
GGAAGUGGCUGGGUCCUGGUGGACCCCCUGGACUUCAAAUCCAGUGGCGGGCGUAGAAGUCCGCGGCGGGUUCGAUUCCCGUACACUUCCGCCA